ACCUUCACCAGGAUAAGGAGCUGGCAUCAGGCGCCCAAACCCGCCCAUGACGCCUAGUCUCACCACACCCUUAAGGGUAUGCAGCAGUGAUAGAUCUUGUAUAUAAGCGACAGCUUGACUCAGCUAAAGAAAAGAGGGCUGGCUAACCCGGUGCCAGCCGCCGCGGCUACACCGCUGGGGCCCAAGUUAAUAAUAACCGGCGUUAAGCGUGAUUAGAGUUUUAUUAAAUUAGGGCUAAAUUAAUGCUUAGCAGUGACAAGCUUGUUAUUAAGAAGAUCAUAUACGAAAGUUGCCCUAAUAGUACUUGAACCCACGACAGCUGGGGCCCAAACUGGGAUUAGAUACCCCACUAUGCCCAGCCGUAAACAAUUAACUUACACCUAUUAACGCCAGGGAACUACGAGCCAUGCUUAAAACCCAAAGGACUUGACGGUGUCCCAUCCCCCUAGAGGAGCCUGUUCUAUGAUCGAUAAUCCCCGCUAUACCUAAUCCCUCCUUGCUAUAUCAGCCUGUAUACCUCCGUCGAAAGCCUACCAUAUGAACGCAUAGUAGGCUUAAUACAUUAACACGUCAGGUCAAGGUGCAGCUUACGGAGUGGCAAGCAAUGGGCUACAGUUUCUAAUAUAGAACAAACGGAAGGCUAUGUGAAACCACAGCCAUGAAGGCGGAUUUAGUAGUAAAAAGAAAAUAGAGUGUUCUUUCUCGCCUGACGCUGG
Molecule: ribosomal RNA, 716 nt
Filed under: Amolops torrentis
Lineage: Eukaryota; Metazoa; Chordata; Amphibia; Anura; Ranidae
Description: partial 12S ribosomal RNA
Rfam family: Bacterial small subunit ribosomal RNA
Source: RNAcentral